UACAAAAAUUAGCUGGGUGUGGUGUU
RNAcentral lists this non-coding RNA (26 nucleotides) under Homo sapiens (human). The record is from RNAcentral. Lineage: Eukaryota; Metazoa; Chordata; Mammalia; Primates; Hominidae.